CGACAGGUGCAAGAUCUGUGGGAGGAACUAGCCAAAAAUUUGAAUGCGCUGAACGGGCCCACACGUACCCCAAUUAAGUGGAAGGAGUCACUGGCAAACUGGAAAAAACCAUUGCGUAGUCGGGCGAGAAGGCUCAAAGCGGACCAAAUGGGCACAGGAGGCGGGCCAAAGCCUGAUGAUUUGGGAGAUUUUGACAGCCAAGCACUUGAGGCACUGGGAAUGAUGACAGUGGAUGGGAUUCCUGCUCAGUAGCUGGGAUUCCAGGCAAGAAUAGAUCCCAUUUUUAAUUAUUGGAUACUGUAUGCUCCACUGCACAUGACGUAGUCCCAACUUUGUGCAAGUUACGGAUACUGUAUGCUCCACUGAACAUGAGGAAGUCUCAGCUUUGCAAGUUACGGUAGAAGAACCCUGCAGUCCACCCAUCAGCAAUAGUCCUCCCUGCAGAACCAAUAUUUUUUCUCGCAGCGAUAUUUCUCCUUCCAACUUACCCAUUGAGGCAACACCAUCCAGAACAAACAACAAAAGAGGAGGAUCACAGGAACUCGCUGAUGUUGUGUUAAAACAUAUUAGAAAGCGAGAAGAGUACGAUGACCGUAUGCUUGAGCAGCAACCAAGAACUAAUGAUGCUCUAGCUAAA
Long non-coding RNA from Rhagoletis zephyria (snowberry fruit fly), 637 nucleotides. RefSeq lists it as uncharacterized. The record is from RefSeq and is a predicted model, not a curated record. NCBI's taxonomy places the organism in Eukaryota, Metazoa, Arthropoda, Insecta, Diptera, Tephritidae.